CCUACGGGAGGCAGCAGUGGGGAAUAUUGCACAAUGGGCGAAAGCCUGAUGCAGCCAUGCCGCGUGUGUGAAGAAGGCCUUCGGGUUGUAAAGCACUUUCAGUUGCGAGGAAAGGAGUGUAGUUAAUAGCUGCAUUCUGUGACGUUAACAACAGAAGAAGCACCGGCUAACUUCGUGCCAGCAGCCGCGGUAAU
This 194-nucleotide ribosomal RNA is filed under the name uncultured bacterium. Its description in RNAcentral is "partial 16S ribosomal RNA". It matches the Rfam family "Bacterial small subunit ribosomal RNA", at positions 338 to 524 of the family's 1533-position model. The record is from RNAcentral.